UACGUAGGGUGCAAGCGUUGUCCGGAAUUAUUGGGCGUAAAGAGCUCGUAGGCGGUCUGUCACGUCGGCUGUGAAAACCCGGGGCUCAACCCCGGGCCUGCAGUCGAUACGGGCAGACUAGAGUGCGGUAGGGGAGACUGGAAUUCCUGGUGUAGCGGUGAAAUGCGCAGAUAUCAGGAGGAACACCAAUAGCGAAGGCAGCUCGCUGGGACGUUACUGACACUGAGGCGCGAAAGCGUGGGGAGCGAACAGG
RNAcentral lists this ribosomal RNA (253 nucleotides) under uncultured bacterium. RNAcentral describes it as "partial 16S ribosomal RNA". It matches the Rfam family "Bacterial small subunit ribosomal RNA", at positions 524 to 776 of the family's 1533-position model. The record is from RNAcentral.